CAGUAGCCGCGGUAAUACGUAGGGUGCAAGCGUUAAUCGGAAUUACUGGGCGUAAAGCGUGCGCAGGCGGUUAUAUAAGACAGAUGUGAAAUCCCCGGGCUCAACCUGGGAACUGCAUUUGUGACUGUAUAGCUAGAGUACGGCAGAGGGGGAUGGAAUUCCGCGUGUAGCAGUGAAAUGCGUAGAUUUGCGGAGGAACACCGAUGGCGAAGGCAAUCCCCUGGGCCUGUACUGACGCUCAUGCACGAAAGCGUGGGGAGCAAACAGGAUUAGAUACCCGUGUAGUCCCUGUCUCUUAUAC
Molecule: ribosomal RNA, 301 nt
Filed under: uncultured bacterium
Lineage: Bacteria
Description: partial 16S ribosomal RNA
Rfam family: Bacterial small subunit ribosomal RNA
Source: RNAcentral